GACGAACGCUGGCGGCGUGCCUAAUACAUGCAAGUAGAACGCUGAAGGAGGAGCUUGCUCUUCUGGAUGAGUUGCGAACGGGUGAGUAACGCGUAGGUAACCUGCCUGGUAGCGGGGGAUAACUAUUGGAAACGAUAGCUAAUACCGCAUAGCAGUAGAUGUUGCAUGACAUUUACUUAAAAGGUGCAAUUGCAUCACUACCAGAUGGACCUGCGUUGUAUUAGCUAGUUGGUGGGGUAACGGCUCACCAAGGCGACGAUACAUAGCCGACCUGAGAGGGGGAUCGGCCACACUGGGACUGAGACACGGCCCAGACUCCUACGGGAGGCAGCAGUAGGGAAUCUUCGGCAAUAGACGGAAGUCUGACCGAGCAACGCCGCGUGAGUGAAGAAGGUUUUCGGAUCGUAAAGCUCUGUUGUAAGAGAAGAACGAGUGUGAGAGUGGAAAGUUCACACUGUGACGGUAUCUUACCAGAAAGGGACGGCUAACUACGUG
This 495-nucleotide ribosomal RNA is filed under the name uncultured bacterium. Its description in RNAcentral is "partial 16S ribosomal RNA". It matches the Rfam family "Bacterial small subunit ribosomal RNA", at positions 28 to 507 of the family's 1533-position model. The record is from RNAcentral.